Molecule: long non-coding RNA, 226 nt
Filed under: Gallus gallus (chicken)
Lineage: Eukaryota; Metazoa; Chordata; Aves; Galliformes; Phasianidae
Source: RNAcentral
GUGCUCCUCACUUCAGCAUUAUGGGUCCCCUGUCAACCCUUUCCGGAGGUGCGGAUUUGUGGAUCCCUCCUCCCACUAGUCACAGAACCAGGCCAAACCAGCCUGUAAACCACUGACAGUAUCAGCUUGACAUAUCUGAAAAAUUAAUUUCCCUCCAAAAUGAAGAAAGAAAUGAACAAACAAAACAAUUACAAUCACUCAAUCAGUGUGAUAGUGCCAAAGUACA